GAUGAACGCUGGCGGCGUGCUUAACACAUGCAAGUCGAACGAAACACCUUAUUUGAUUUUCUUCGGAACUGAAGAUUUGGUGAUUGAGUGGCGGACGGGUGAGUAACGCGUGGGUAACCUACCCUGUACAGGGGGAUAACAGUCAGAAAUGACUGCUAAUACCGCAUAAGACCACAGCACCGCAUGGUGCAGGGGUAAAAACUCUGGUGGUACAGGAUGGACCCGCGUCUGAUUAGCUGGUUGGUGAGGUAACGGCUCACCAAGGCGACGAUCAGUAGCCGGCUUGAGAGAGUGAACGGCCACAUUGGGACUGAGACACGGCCCAAACUCCUACGGGAGGCAGCAGUGGGGAAUAUUGCACAAUGGGGGAAACCCUGAUGCAGCGACGCCGCGUGAGUGAAGAAGUAUCUCGGUAUGUAAAGCUCUAUCAGCAGGGAAGAA
Molecule: ribosomal RNA, 441 nt
Filed under: uncultured bacterium
Lineage: Bacteria
Description: bacterial SSU rRNA
Rfam family: Bacterial small subunit ribosomal RNA
Source: RNAcentral